GAUGAACGCUGGCAGCAUGCUUAACACAUGCAAGUCGACUUGAACUUCGGUUUGGGUGGCGGACGGGUGAGUAACGCGUAAAGAACUUGCCUCACAGCUAGGGACAACAUUUGGAAACGAAAGCUAAUACCUGAUAUUAUGAUUAUAUGGCAUCGUAUAAUUAUGAAAGCUAUAUGCGCUGUGUGAGAGCUUUGCGUCCCAUUAGCUAGUUGGAGAGGUAACAGCUCACCAAGGCGAUGAUGGGUAGCCGGCCUGAGAGGGUGAUCGGCCACAAGGGGACUGAGACACGGCCCUUACUCCUACGGGAGGCAGCAGGGGGGAAUAUUGGACAAUGGACCGAGAGUCUGAUCCAGAAAUUCUGUGUGCACGAUGAAGUUUUUCGGAAUGUAAAGUGCUUUCAGGUGGGAAGAAAAAAAUGACGGUACCAACAGAAGAAGUGACGGCUAAAUACGUG
RNAcentral lists this ribosomal RNA (454 nucleotides) under uncultured bacterium. RNAcentral describes it as "partial 16S ribosomal RNA". It matches the Rfam family "Bacterial small subunit ribosomal RNA", at positions 28 to 507 of the family's 1533-position model. The record is from RNAcentral.